This is a non-coding RNA of Ictidomys tridecemlineatus (thirteen-lined ground squirrel), 1520 nucleotides long. The record is from RefSeq and is a predicted model, not a curated record. Lineage: Eukaryota; Metazoa; Chordata; Mammalia; Rodentia; Sciuridae.
UUUUUUUUUUUUUCUGACUCACAGCAGCCUUUGAUAUUUGAAAGGGAGACCAUUAAUAGAUCAUAAUCUCUUUAUUUUGAUUUUCCAAAAAGUGCUCCCAGCAAGGAAAGAUCUGGGUGUGUACACAACAACAUGAAACCUCCUGUUUGAACAAUAGACACCUGCACAGGAGCCAAACAAAGAGACCAGCUCCCGCCCACCAGGUUCUCACUUCAAGCAAAAGCUCAAGAGGAUGGACAAGAGACAGCAGGCUCCCCUGAGCCAGAGAGGUCUACAAAUUCAUCUAGGGUUCAAGGAUUAUAACAGUCAACGACUACAGCAGUUUCAAACUCACCAGCAGAUCCAGAUCCAUGUGUGGUAUGGGACCUCCCACCUGCGUCUUGGUCUCCUGUCAUGGGCAAUGAUGGAAGAAUACGUUGGGGUUCAGAACAUGAGAUCUUCUUGGAGAAAGCAGCCAAAGAAACUGUGGUAGCAGGAAGAACAGCUUUGAAUACACCAGCCCUCCACCGAGGAUCACCAGAGAUGACAGAGCUUUGCCCAUCCAUGCAGAUUGGUAGGUGGCCCUCUGCACUUGAAAGGCCAAAGAAUUGGUAUCGCUGGCAUUUUUGCUACCUCAGACGGAAGAGGCAGGUGACUGAAAAUUAUACCACAAUGAUCACUAUUUUGUUAGUAAUCUUGCUGGAGAAACAAAUACUCUGAGCAGCCAGAGCUUUUCUGUAGAUGGUUCUGAGAAAGAACAUCUACCUGGAAUAGCAAUAUGGUUUAGCUUCAUAACUCUGAAUGUUUCUCAGACACCCAUGGUAAUUCGAAUCAAAUACAAACUAUAAUAUGAGCAAGCCAUUCAUAGCCAAUGAAAGAAAAACAAGAUGCAUUACAGUCAAUAGAAAAAGUCCAGAAGCAACCCAUCACCAUCAGAAAAGUGCGUUGAAAAAAAAAGAGGUAUAUAUCCAUAUAACAGUUCCCUGAUAUUGUCAUACACAAAUAUUUGGGUUAGAAUAGCAUAAACAUCUAACAGAAGGAUCACGACAAAAUUAGAAUGUCUUUUAUGAAAAGGCUAUUUGCAAAUCCAUCUUCUUUCAAAGCUUAUUUUGAUACCCAAAUAACACAAAACUAUUUCACAAGAGAAUAAUGUCUAGAAUCAUGAAACACAUUCUCAAUAGGCAUGAAAAAUGGUAGCUAUCCUUCCCCUCCAAAAGGAAAAGGGUAUCCUGUUGAAUCACAGGCAUAGACACUCAGCAAAAAAGUGAAUGGAAAUUGAAAAAUAUGCUCUAGAGAUGAAGAAAUAGUGAAGGAAGUUUCCCCUGGAGCCUGAUCAUACAGUUUAUUUGCAGGUUGAUCUUUUGGGGUCACCAUCCAAGGGAUUUUGGUUUCCCAAGUAUCAAAACCAUCUCUUUUACAGAUGGACCUACCCAAGACUGGGCCACAUCCUGAACCCAGGAGACAGUGUACUCAUAAACUCCAGUGAUUUGGGUUAUUUGGUUUUCUUUCUGAAGGUAUUAAAAAGAGCAUAGAAGGGCUGG